This 466-nucleotide ribosomal RNA is filed under the name uncultured bacterium. RNAcentral's name for it is "partial 16S ribosomal RNA". It matches the Rfam family "Bacterial small subunit ribosomal RNA", at positions 28 to 507 of the family's 1533-position model. The record is from RNAcentral.
GAUGAACGCUGGCGGCGUGCUUAACACAUGCAAGUCGAACGAUGAAGCCCAGCUUGCUGGGUGGAUUAGUGGCGAACGGGUGAGUAACACGUGAGUAACCUGCCCUUAACUCUGGGAUAAGCCUGGGAAACUGGGUCCAAUACCGGAUAGGAGCGUCCACCGCAUGGUGGGUGUUGGAAAGAUUUAUCGGUUUUGGAUGGACUCGCGGCCUAUCAGCUUGUUGGUGAGGUAAUGGCUCACCAAGGCGACGACGGGUAGCCGGCCUGAGAGGGUGACCGGCCACACUGGGACUGAGACACGGCCCAGACUCCUACGGGAGGCAGCAGUGGGGAAUAUUGCACAAUGGGCGCAAGCCUGAUGCAGCGACGCCGCGUGAGGGAUGACGGCCUUCGGGUUGUAAACCUCUUUCAGUAGGGAAGAAGCGAAAGUGACGGUACCUGCAGAAGAAGCACCGGCUAACUACGUG